GUUGAGAUAGCUCAGCUGGUAGAGCAUCAGACUCUUAAACUCAGGGCCAUGGGUUCAAGCCCCAUGUUGGAUG
This is a non-coding RNA of Podarcis lilfordi (Lilford's wall lizard), 73 nucleotides long. The record is from the annotation of a GenBank genome assembly. NCBI's taxonomy places the organism in Eukaryota, Metazoa, Chordata, Lepidosauria, Squamata, Lacertidae.